AAGUCGUAACAAGGUUUCCGUAGGUGAACCUGCGGAAGGAUCAUUACAACGUAUCCACGUACAAACCAGUGAACUGUUCCCAACGGAAUUAGAUACAAAAGCAAUUUUGUAUUCGAGGUUGAUGGCAUGUCUGGUUCCUGCUGAUGGAGUUUCUGGGCUUUUGCCUCGAAACUAGGGCCUGACAUACCGCGAAAGCUUAUGGCUUUCGGACCUCAAGCUCUUCCGUUUGGUUGAUUACCGUCAGCAUGUAAAACCCUUUAUUAACCCUAUGUACCAUUUGAUCUGAUCUAUUCUGUCUGAAAACGCGUUCUUGUUGGCUUUAAGUCACGAACCGCGGCUCAGCAGGAGUUUGAUACGAAACAAAGAACAACUCUUAACAACGGAUAUCUUGGUUCCC
This 397-nucleotide unclassified non-coding RNA is filed under the name fungal sp. RNAcentral's name for it is "partial internal transcribed spacer region". The stretch from base 1 to 46 matches the Rfam family "Eukaryotic small subunit ribosomal RNA", at positions 1786 to 1831 of the family's 1831-position model. The record is from RNAcentral. Lineage: Eukaryota; Fungi.